Long non-coding RNA from Platichthys flesus (European flounder), 2324 nucleotides. RefSeq lists it as uncharacterized. The record is from RefSeq and is a predicted model, not a curated record. The transcript has 3 exons. NCBI's taxonomy places the organism in Eukaryota, Metazoa, Chordata, Actinopteri, Pleuronectiformes, Pleuronectidae.
CGGUUUUUCUUGUUUGUUUUUUGUGCACUGUCGUUCAUACAGUAUGAUCGACUAGCACCUUAUACGUUGUUAUACGGAAAUACGUUGAUCUGUUUACCGAUACGCCGACGGAGCAGAAAGAAGAAAGGGAAGUGCUCCUCCAUCCUGUGCAGAUCUCGGACGAGAUGCUGCAAUUCCCCACUGCCGAGCACUCUACUCGCAAAUGUUCAAUCCCUGGACAAUAAAAUGGACGAGCUACACGCACGGACUAAUUUCCAGCGGGACAUCACAAACUGCUGUGUGCUGGCUUUCACUGAGACCUGGCUGGAUCCUAUGGUGCCUGACUCGGCCAUCACUCCGGACGAUUUUUUCCAUCUACCGGCAGGACAGAAUCUACAAGUCGGGUAGGAGCAGAGGUGGAGGGCUGUGCUUGAUGGUGAACUCUCGCUGGGGCUUGAAUGUUGAUUGCUUUCAGCUCUCUGCUCACCAUCAGAAUAACAGCUAUUAUUCGGAUUGAUUGUGUUUGUAAAUGCAAUAACUUGAAAGAAACAUUACAUUAAUUCUACGAAAUUAAUUCUGCUGCAGAGACCAAGUGUUUUUGUUUUCACCACAUGGACACCAGCGUUGGCCCUCAUGAUGAAAAGCUCUCUGGACAGCUUCAUUGGUGUCUGCUACGUGGUAUUCUUUUUGAAAACCUGUCCUUAGAGCCGUCCACUUUCACAGAAAAUCUGUAGCUAGGUUUUCUCCGGGUGCUCCGGUUUACCUAUAUAUUUUCUAAUAAAAUUUUAAAAAGUAUAUAUACAUGUAGUUGGUCUUGAAUUCCCUCCUCAAUAAACUGAAAACAUUGCUUUGAAAAUGUGUAAAGUAAAAUAUUGAACUGUAUACGGGAGCUGAGGGUUUACGAAAAAGGGACAAGCGUACGGAAAAAAUUCAAACAUAACGCUGACGGCCACUGGAUAUUACAGAACUAUUGGAGGUUUGAAAAAUGUAAGAUGAUGGCUGUAAUGUGAACAAGUUGAUCUUUUGUCUUUUAAUGCUUGAAAAUGUUUAACAACAAAUUUUUCCAUCUUCCGGCAGGACAGAACCUACAAGUCGGGUAGGAGCAGAGGUGGAGGGCUGUGCUUUAUGGUGAACUCUCGCUGGGGCUGGAAUGUUGUGUGCUUUCAGCACGCUGCUCACCAGACCUGGAGCUGCUAUUGCAGUUGUAGAUACCAGGACUGAGAGGCACCCAGCUUACAGAGGGCAGAAGAAGACAGAGACGAUGGAAGACUCAAUCCGAUUUUCAUCGAACCCUGAAAUGAUACCAAGAUAAAUGGUCUUCGUACCUGAUGAGAUUGCAGCAGAUGGUGGGAGCGGAUCAGUAUGACUUUAAGAGGACAGAACCUACAAGUCGAGUAGGAGCAGAGGUGGAGGGCUGUGCUUUAUGGUGAACUCUCGCUGGGGCUCGAAUGUCCGAACUUCCACAGAUAAAGAGAUGGACGUUCGGACAUUUAUCGCCUUGGUGGUCGUGGAUGUCUUAAAAAAGUGCAAAUUCGAAAAAUCGGACUAUGGAGAGAUGACCACCAUCACCCUAGCACAUCAGCUGAUGAUUGGAGUUGGUUUUCCUGAGCAGCAAGAAAGAUGCUGCUCAAGUGAAUGAUGAACUUCACGAAAAGACUCACCUCCACGUGAAGAGCAUGCUACAUUUUGAAAAUCCAGCUGUUAGGGGCUUAAUUACGGAUUGUUUUUCGAAAACGUAUCAGUGUCAGUUUAGUUCGUUUAUUUCAGCCUCUGUGUUUUCUGUUUUAUUUUGUAGUCUCUGUUCCUUGUGGGGUGUUUCUGUCUUCAUUUCCUGUCUUGGUGAUUGUCCUUGUAACUCCUCAUGUGUUGCACCUGUGGCCAAUUACCCCUGCCUACCCUGUAUGUAUUUAAGCCUCAGUCUUUCCCCUUGUCCUCUGUCGGAUUUUCUGUUUUGCGUCCUGUUUUUCUCCAGUGUUUCUUGUGCUCGUUCUUGUUCCUCUAGUCGUUCUGGUGGAUUAUGUUCCAUGUUGCUGUUCUGUUCUGCGUUCCUGUCCUGCCCUGUCCUGAUCUUCUGAGCCUCGUGUAAGCUUUUUUGUGCUUUUGUUUAUAUUAAAUACCCUUUUUGUUAAAUAUCUCCGCUCCUGGGUCCAUCUCCUUCCUCAAAUCGUGACAAUCAGGCAUAAUUCAGGAAAGCGUACAUAUGACAAAAUUGACAUUAUCUGUUAGUGUGCGCUAACCACUUUGAAUCGGACUGUUUUAUCAACCUGUGCCAAUAUAACGCCGGAUUCUCAAAAAGGUUGUUAUUGAAAGAGGGGUCGAUGCCAUUUUUCCAUCACAUUACUGAA